Leptidea sinapis is the source of this 1387-nucleotide long non-coding RNA. RefSeq lists it as uncharacterized. The record is from RefSeq and is a predicted model, not a curated record. The transcript has 3 exons. NCBI's taxonomy places the organism in Eukaryota, Metazoa, Arthropoda, Insecta, Lepidoptera, Pieridae.
GUAGUAUUCGUUGCCAGUGUGUCUAUAAAUAUUAUCGAGAGUGAACGUGUGCGUUAUUAUCGCUUGAGUAUUUAUUCAAUAUUAAAACUGUUACAGUGAUAACAAACAAACAUUUAAUUUAAAAUAUGAUACUGACGUGAUCGUGUAUAUUGUACAUUAAGAUGAAGAAAUUAAUGGUGUUCGGUGUUUUAUGCUGUUUAUUUAUCAGCGAAGCACGCGAUCUCACACAAAAAUCAGAAAACCAGCAGAGAUCUCUUCGUAAGCGUCACAUCAGAAAUUCAUACUGCUCGACACGUUACGACAGGGAUAGAGGAAUUGAAGAUCGAUUGGAGAUACUUGACAAUAGGAUCAGAAAUGUAGAGAUUUUACAAAAUAGAAAUAACAUAAUUUUAAAUGAGAUAAAUGACAAUUGUAAAAGUCUUCUUCGGCAGCCUCCGUGUUUACUGGAUGAGGAAAACGAUGAAAAAACAAUUAACAAUACUAGCAUAGACAAUAGAAUUUUUGUGGAUCCGAACCAAAUUUGGGGCAGCAACCCUGUUGAAGUGAGUUAUGAUUCUGAAUAUGAUGAUGGAAUAAGACCACCUAAUUUAAAUCGGAUACCUAUGGAAAAACGGCGUACGACUACUACUACGACUCAGAAGCCAGUGAUGAAACCAACCACCUGCCAUGCUGCCAUUCUCUUCUGUUGUGAAAACGGUGAUGAAGCUCGAGAAAGAUGUUUCUCGAGGUUCAGGUGCAGUGGUUCAUAUGGGACAGGACGAGCUUGCGAGCCGGAAACCAUUAAUCGGAUUAUUAAAUUAUAUCAUGAUUACUAUACGAUAUAAGACGAACGGUAGUUUGUAUAACAAUAAUAUACAGAACGAGGCCGAGAUAAUGUAUGUUGGGCAAAUAAUGAUAUGAAAAGAAAACGAAGAUAUAGCAAUGGCUGUAGAAAUAAUAGUUGGAUGUUUUGUUAUGUAGAAGUAGAGAACGACACAAUUUUCGAAUCAACGAAAUACUAGCCUAGCAAAUUAUAAAUAAUCUAAUACCGACGUAUAAAUGGUCUAAGCUAUAUAGUGAUAACUAGCAAGCCGCCUCAGCUUCACACGGACAUAAGAUCAUCAUUGUCACAUCACACACACUACAUGUUCACACUACUUUAAGGAAUGUUUUCCUAUCCUUUAGUACGCCUAGUAUUAUAUUCAUACAAACAUCCUUCUCUCCAUCAUUUUCAUUACUUCGAACUCCUCCAUCAGUACCAUACUACAUCCUUACUUAAAAAUGAAUUGAACCUUAUACGUAAGCAUAAACCUAAAAAAUUUAAACAUAACAUAGGUCCUUAUUAUGAGCAUUAAUGGUGAAAGUGAACUAAGUACGUGCAGUCAACAUUAUUACAAAUAAACGUGUG